CCCUACGGGGUGCAGCAGGCAUGUAACCGAAUGUCCCGGCGUGACCGCGCAGUGCGGAGGCCAGAGGCAGGGACUACGCGCACGGAUGCUCCUGUCACUGCGUGAUGAAUUCUACAAAAUACACCUCCUUAACUUUUCCGGAAACCAUCACAGCAUUGACCUGUGACUUUAUCUCCUCGGCCAGGGAAAUCUUCUUCUCCAGGGUAUCCAUGUCAGCAUACUUUCUACCGUUUAACUGUACUUGUAUUAUAUGAGAAAUCUGAUCAGACCUGCUGUGCAGUUCGGAUGUCAGCAGUUCACUGGCCUCAUAUCCCAGGGAAACGGUGAUACGGGCAAAGUGAGGUUCGGCAUCCGCCGUUACCACGGAAAACGAGGGCAGCCUGAAAUCUGCCAGGGGCGUUGGCGGGGGGGC
This 412-nucleotide ribosomal RNA is filed under the name uncultured prokaryote. Its description in RNAcentral is "partial 16S ribosomal RNA". The record is from RNAcentral.